This is a non-coding RNA of Pelobates cultripes (western spadefoot toad), 90 nucleotides long. NCBI's taxonomy places the organism in Eukaryota, Metazoa, Chordata, Amphibia, Anura, Pelobatidae. The record is from the annotation of a GenBank genome assembly.
GUGGAUGUAGCACUUACACUAAAAUCAGAAUGAUAUAGAGAAGAUUAGCAUGCCCGCUUCUCAAGGAUUUUUGAAGCUUUAUAAAUAGUA